Molecule: long non-coding RNA, 232 nt
Filed under: Rosa chinensis
Lineage: Eukaryota; Viridiplantae; Streptophyta; Magnoliopsida; Rosales; Rosaceae
Description: sRNA RchiOBHm_Chr4g0390751
Source: RNAcentral
CGCCUUCAUGGCCUCGCCGCGCAACUUGUCGCCGGUCUCUCUGACCCAGCCGAGCUCCUCCUCGACGACUUCGAUGCCGGAGAGAUCGUACUGGUCGUAGAGCGCCAAGAUCUCGCAAUUCAGCUGGGCGGCCUUGGCGAGAUCGAUCUUCUCGGGGUCGACGGCGAGGUCGCGGAGCUUCUUGGAGAGGCGGAGGGCGCGGAGGGUGUGGUGGAGGAGCUCGGAGGUGGCG